GAGAUCCAGGAGCGCCCCACGAUGGUCUAUAGCAUCAGCGAAGUGAAAAACAUCUUCACUGUGUCUCGGGUUUCCGAGUCUGUCAGCACUGCAGACGAAGUCACGAGCGCGGCUGUUGAAGAACCACCACAGGUCAUGACCCUUGAUGAGCGUGAUGGAGACGACACGCUGUCCGGACCUUCAGAAACCAACGCGGUGGCUGCAGCAGAUAAUGAAGUUGUUGUUUU
Long non-coding RNA from Nematolebias whitei (Rio pearlfish), 227 nucleotides. RefSeq lists it as uncharacterized. The record is from RefSeq and is a predicted model, not a curated record. The transcript is spliced from 3 exons. Lineage: Eukaryota; Metazoa; Chordata; Actinopteri; Cyprinodontiformes; Rivulidae.